AUCCAACUGACGAGUCCUAAAUAGGACGAAGGGCACGUCGUGUAU
Schistosoma rodhaini is the source of this 45-nucleotide non-coding RNA. Lineage: Eukaryota; Metazoa; Platyhelminthes; Trematoda; Strigeidida; Schistosomatidae. The record is from Rfam.